This is a long non-coding RNA of Acanthochromis polyacanthus (spiny chromis), 3308 nucleotides long. RefSeq lists it as uncharacterized. The record is from RefSeq and is a predicted model, not a curated record. The transcript has 3 exons. NCBI's taxonomy places the organism in Eukaryota, Metazoa, Chordata, Actinopteri, Pomacentridae.
GCUAAAGUCAACAGUGACAGAGUUUGAGCUCAAAUAAAUGCCGUGAUGUCUGGAGCCCUUUGCAGAAGGCAGAAGGCGAGCUUCUACAAUGGGCUCCUGUGUGGCUUGCCAACAACAAGCACCGGCUAUUUUGCACAGGGCUCUGCUGACUGAAGUGAUCCCCACGGCCCGAGUGGAGGAGAGGAGGGAGAGGACGCCUCGGAGGGAAGAGGGAUAGCUGUGGAAGAGCUGAUGCACUCGCACACACUCAACCACUCACACAAUGUCCCUCUCAGUCCUGGGUUGUGACCGGCCCAUGGCAUUGGCCAGAUGCACGUGGCGUUUCAUUCGAAGGACACUUUUCCACUGCAGCUCACCAUCUACUUUCAUCGCCCUGCGUCAAGCGACCUGAAAGCACUUUCCUGUCGAUGUACUUGGCUAUAUCUACGUCCUGACCUGUCUGCCAUAUGUAAUAUCAAAGCCUCUGUCAGCGUGGAGCUGAUUGGGAACAAAAGAGAGGCCUCCAUUAAUGAUUAACUGUUCUAAAAGCCCCGGCUUUUGUAUUCCCAUGGUGCCCAGGCUAUCUGGCCACCAUGUGACAUGCUCACAGCAUUUUUCGAGCAGAUUGGGGGAAAGCUAGUGAGCAAACACAGGUGCUUUGGAGCAGCGUUGCCGACGCUGUCAGGGACAACCACAAACAAGAGCAGCUAUGCCUGGCUAAAUGAAUCCCCACCCCUCCCACCACCAUCGCCACCUCCACUGCCCCCCCCCCCCCCCUUUUUUUUUUGCUUUUUGCUCUGUCGCUAGCUAACUUGUUUGCUAGCUCCCUAUAGCUUUCUCCAUGCAAAAGCCUUCCUUCUGGAUAGUCACUGCGACCCCCUCCUCCCCUACUUCCACAAGUCCAAUGUCCGCUACAGCUACAACUUCUCACACCCUCUAAAGAAACAAACAAAUAAAAGUGAGGACGGCCGACCGCUUCUUUGAGGUGAUGGCAUUUGCUGUGGUCAUGACUAGUGGGAGAGCAAACAAAUUAACGGUGUCCGAGUUUUCACUUUCCAAACCAAACUAAAUGUCUUUUAGUUCAAGUGGGGCAAUUCCACUGACCCUGGUGUCAAAUGCUGCAUGAGGGUUGCACACUCUUGCACUUGAAAUGUUGAGAGGAGGCCGUAAGAAAUUAAACAGGGCUUGAGCAUUGGCUUAUGUGAGCGUGGUGUGGUGCAGUACCUUGAAUAAAUCUUGAAUAAAUUGUAGGUGUAAUAAACACAGUAUUUAAUUUCUGCUAUCCAAGUAUUUUCACCACGAACUUUAACAAGAGGUGUCUGGAGCACUUAACCUUUUCAUCCAGUCUGACUGAUUGUUCGGAGUGACUGAGGGUGCUGUGUCGCUCAACUUUGAUAAGACAAUCAGAUGAUAGGAUGGCGUUAUCUUAACACGGCUUUCCGGCUGGGAGACAAAUGAACAGUGUGUGAUAACAGGAACAAAAGCUAGGCUCUUAUUGCCUUGUUCCUCCAAAGAAAGGAAAAUUAUCAGAAUAGAAAAUUCACAAUAGGGACAGUUUAUUUCAUUUUCAAUUUUCUACUUAUGCUCAGGACACAGGAACAGCUUUCUCUCUUUUUUAUCACUCAUAUAUUUAUACUGCCUCUUGUUGGCAUUUUGGUGUGACAGUCUGCAAUUACCUGAACCUAUAAACCAGUUAUCACUGGAAAGAUGAUAAAAUGUUUUAAAACAAACAAUUUAAACAGGAGAGGAAAUUAAGUUGUAAAAGUGAGAGAUGCGGAUACGGAAAAAGACAGUGAGUGUAAAAAUAUAGAGAAAGAAGGAAAUGUGGGAUAUUGUCUAUGUGUGAGAGAUGAAGUAGUAGAUAGAGAAAAAAAAGGUCAAAAGUAACUUCCUCAGAGACACGCUACUGAUAAGUUAAACACCUCUUCUGUCUGGGUUUUUUGACUUCUGCAGCCAAAUUCUCGGAGUCAGAGAGGGCUAUGUAUACUCAAGGAUUCACUCAAGACUUUGUUUGCUCUAUUCCCCCCAAAAAAUGAUUGAAAAAUAUUGGUGCCCUGGCUUGAAAUGUUAGCACUUUGUUAGGACUUAAAAAAGAACUUGUAACUGGGUAGAAACUGCAUGAAUAAAAUAUUCUCUUUUUAAGAAAAGAUGUUGUGUUAUUUGAAAAAAAAAAUCAUUUUAUCCAUAAAGAUUUUCAUUUUGAUAGACUUUUGAAUAUUUCAUUUUGCAAAAAUUGGCACAUUUUAAAGUUGAAUUUAACCUCCUGAGACCAUUCUUCCAGGUGCUAUCAGAGAGGGUUUAAAACAGGCAGAGAUGUAUUCGGAGAAGCUCAUCUCAUCCCCCUGUUCUGCCGCUGGUUCCCUGCAGGGAUUUAGCCUCCACUGGUCGUGAGCUGAGUCUGAUCAGAGGAGUUACAAAUCCUUACUUUUAGGGGUCUUACUGUAAUUCACAAGCCUUGUUGGCCACCGUUAAGCGCGGGGGCCCGGCAUCUCGAGAGGGAUUUGAGACAACAUCUUUGUUGCCUCCUCAUUGUAUCACGGUGAAAGUCGUCCAGCACCCAUUGUCUGACCAAACUCUGCUCAGACCUCGGCUCAAUCAAAGAAAAGUUUUCCAGUAAUGAGGUAAGACAUGAAAGCUCACUGAACACAGCGACAUGUUGAAAGGGGCCUUUUGAUCUUGUCAGACACAAUGGUCAAAUUUGAAAAGAGCAAAGUGUGCUUUAAGCAGCAAUGCACUGCAUUAACCCCUUGUCUUUUGACAGGCCCACACCUAGAAAAGACGUAAUAUUCCGCUCUAUGGAAAAUGUAGUUCACGAGUAAUGGCCUCCUUGAAGGGGAGGGGACCUUUGUGCUAAUUCUACCUGCCGCCUUUACAGAUUGGCUGGUCAAGAAAUAGAGAGUUGGACUCUUUUCAAAGCUUUACAACCCUCUACUUGUGUGUUCUUUGAGGUGUUGUUUUAUAUCAUUCACUUACCUCUCAAGAUAUCUCUACAUCACAAGUAAAAAAUGUAUUUGUGCCGAUUUAAUAAAUGAGAUGACCUUCAAAGUAGCAUCAAGUUGAGGCAAGUCUUUAAGAUUUGCCCAAACAAAUGAUUCCUGAUAAUAAUUCUUCGGAACUGGCUGUUUUGUGAAGAGUGAGGAAAACUUAAUGGCACUGCAGUGGAGGUGACAGAUUACCCAGCAGCCAGCUGUGGCAGUCACGGGUCAGUGCAGACUGACUGUGUCCCCAGACUCCGUUAAAUAAGUGGGCCGGCACUAUCUCUGUCCAUCAGCCACCCAGUUUGUUGACUCUUCAAAGAAUGCUAAUAAAAUAUAUGUCCUCUUACUGUA